This 75-nucleotide transfer RNA is filed under the name Parvibaculum lavamentivorans DS-1. Its description in RNAcentral is "tRNA-Glu (CTC) (tRNA-Glu-CTC-1-1)". It matches the Rfam family "tRNA". Rfam says of the family: Transfer RNA (tRNA) molecules are approximately 80 nucleotides in length. The record is from RNAcentral. RNAcentral also lists the same sequence under 1 other name. Lineage: Bacteria; Pseudomonadati; Pseudomonadota; Alphaproteobacteria; Hyphomicrobiales; Parvibaculaceae.
GUCCCCUUCGUCUAGCGGUUAGGACAUCGCCCUCUCACGGCGAAAACAGGGGUUCGAUUCCCCUAGGGGAUACCA